AUGGGCGUCCCAUCCUCCUCCGUUAAGAAUUCAUCCUCUCGUGAACAUAUCCGUGAGCUAGAACACAUCAUUGCAACUCAAGAGGCAGAUGCAAAAAAGGCAACUGAUAUGUUUCAUGAAGAGCUCAAUGAACCCCUUUUUGCCCAGAUAGUAGAAAUUAAAGAACUUCAGAAGAAGCGGCUAGAAGAGAUUGAAGAUUUCAAAAUGGAUCAGCAGAAGAAAUCCACUGUCUUUGAAAAAAGGCAAAGACAUAUGGAGGCAAUGCUCAGUCAUCUGUUAAGGAAGUCCACACAGUCAGCACAAGACAACGUCCGAAAAACACCGAUGGCCUCAUGCUUAUAG
Molecule: ribosomal RNA, 342 nt
Filed under: Triticum aestivum (bread wheat)
Lineage: Eukaryota; Viridiplantae; Streptophyta; Magnoliopsida; Poales; Poaceae
Description: partial small subunit ribosomal RNA
Source: RNAcentral